AUUGAACGCUGGCGGCAGGCCUAACACAUGCAAGUCGAACGAGUGGCGGACGGGUGAGUAAUGUCUGGGAACCUGCCUGAUGGAGGGGGAUAACUCCUGGAAACGGUAGCUACUACCGCAUACCAUGCGUUGGGCCCAGAUGGGAUUCGUUAGAAGGUGGGUGAAAGGCUCCCCUAGGCGACGCUCCCUAGCUGGUCUGAGAGGAUGACAAGCCACACGGGAACUGAGACACGGUCCAUACUCCUACGGGAGGCAGCAGUGGGGAAUAUGGCACAAUGGGCGCAAGCCUGAUGCAGCCAUGCCGCGUGGAUGAAGAAGGCCUUCGGGUUGUAAAGUACUUUCAGCGGGGAGGCGUUACCCGCAGAAGAAGCACCGGCUAACUCCGUGCCAGCAGCCGCGGUAAUUC
Molecule: ribosomal RNA, 406 nt
Filed under: uncultured bacterium
Lineage: Bacteria
Description: partial 16S ribosomal RNA
Rfam family: Bacterial small subunit ribosomal RNA
Source: RNAcentral